CCUACGGGUGGCAGCAGUGAGGAAUAUUGGUCAAUGGACGAGAGUCUGAACCAGCCAAGUAGCGUGAAGGAUGACUGCCCUAUGGGUUGUAAACUUCUUUUAUAUGGGAAUAAAAUGUUCCACGUGUGGGAUUUUGUAUGUACCAUAUGAAUAAGGAUCGGCUAACUCCGUGCCAGCAGCCGCGGUAAUACGGAGGAUCCGAGCGUUAUCCGGAUUUAUGGGGGUUAAAGGGAGCGUAGGUGGAUUGUUAAGUCAGUUGUGAACGUUUGCGGCUCAACCGUAAAAUUGCAGUUGAGACUGGCAGUCUUGAGUACAGGAGAGGUGAGCGGAAUUCGUGGUGUAGCGGUGAAAUGCGUAGAUAUCACGAAGAACUCCGAUUGCGAAGGCAGCUCACUGGACUGCAACUGACACUGAGGCUCGAAAGUGUGGGUAUCAAACAGGAUUAGAUACCCGUGUAGUC
Molecule: ribosomal RNA, 460 nt
Filed under: uncultured bacterium
Lineage: Bacteria
Description: partial 16S ribosomal RNA
Rfam family: Bacterial small subunit ribosomal RNA
Source: RNAcentral